RNAcentral lists this ribosomal RNA (831 nucleotides) under uncultured marine bacterium. RNAcentral describes it as "bacterial SSU rRNA". It matches the Rfam family "Bacterial small subunit ribosomal RNA", at positions 61 to 940 of the family's 1533-position model. The record is from RNAcentral.
GUCGAACGCAGUAGCAAUACUGAGUGGCAAACGGGUGAGUAUAAUGUGGGAAUCUGCCUUUUGGUUUGGAAUAACACGGGGAGACUCGUGCUAAUACCGGAUAAGCCCUUACGGGGAAAGUUUUAACGCCGAAAGAUGAGCCUGCACUUGAUUAGCUAGUUGGUAAGGUAAAGGCUUACCAAGGCAACGAUCAAUAGCUGUUCUUAGAGGAAGACCAGCCACAUUGGGACUGAGACACGGCCCAGACUCCUACGGGAGGCAGCAGUGGGGAACCUUGCACAAUGGGGGAAACCCUGAUGCAGCGAUGCCGCGUGAGUGAAGAAGGCCUUUGGGUUGUAAAACUCUUUCGUCGGGGAAGAAAAUGACUGUACCCGAAUAAGAAGGUCCGGCUAACUUCGUGCCAGCAGCCGCGGUAAUACGAAGGGACCUAGCGUAGUUCGGAAUUACUGGGCUUAAAGAGCUCGUAGGUGGUUAAAAAAGUUGAUGGUGAAAUCCCAAGGCUCAACCUUGGAACUGCCAUCAAAACUUUUUAGCUAGAGUGUGAUAGAGGUAAGUGGAAUUUCUAGUGUAGAGGUGAAAUUCGUAGAUAUUAGAAAGAACACCAAAUGCGAAGGCAACUUACUGGGUCACUACUGACACUGAGGAGCGAAAGCAUGGGUAGCGAAGAGGAUUAGAUACCCUCGUAGUCCAUGCCGUAAACGGUGUGUGCUAGACGUUGGAAAUAUAUUUUUCAGUGUCGCAGCGAAAGCGUUAAGCACACCGCCUGGGGAGUACGACCGCAAGGUUAAAACUCAAAUGAAUUGACGGGGACCCGCACAAGCAGUGGAGCAU